AGCAGUAGCCACGGUAAUACGAAGGGGGCUAGCGUUGCUCGGAAUUACUGGGCGUAAAGGGAGCGUAGGCGGAUCGUUAAGUUGGGGGUGAAAGCCCGGGGCUCAACCUCGGAAUUGCCUUCAAUACUGGCGAUCUUGAGUAUGGAAGAGGUAUGUGGAACUCCGAGUGUAGAGGUGAAAUUCGUAGAUAUUCGGAAGAACACCAGUGGCGAAGGCGACAUACUGGUCCAUUACUGACGCUGAGGCUCGAAAGCGUGGGGAGCAAACAGGAUUAGAUACCCGCGUAGUCCCUGUCUCUUAUAC
This 303-nucleotide ribosomal RNA is filed under the name uncultured bacterium. RNAcentral describes it as "partial 16S ribosomal RNA". It matches the Rfam family "Bacterial small subunit ribosomal RNA", at positions 507 to 807 of the family's 1533-position model. The record is from RNAcentral.